GGCGUAGAGCAGUCCGGUAGCUCGCCAGCCUCACAAGCUGGAGGUCGCAUCUAAGCCGCGUGGCUCAUAACCACGAAAGACCGGUUUCGAUUCCCGGGCCU
Molecule: transfer RNA, 101 nt
Filed under: Ensifer meliloti
Lineage: Bacteria; Pseudomonadati; Pseudomonadota; Alphaproteobacteria; Hyphomicrobiales; Rhizobiaceae
Also listed under: 1 other name
Description: Sinorhizobium meliloti tRNA-Val
Source: RNAcentral